AUCCCAUUGUGAGGGCACCUUCUCAAUAAGUCCUUGUAUCUCUCCCAUGCAUCGUAAAGUGUUUCUAAAUCCAUCUGCAUAAAAGAAGAGAUAUCAUUACGUAAUUU
RNAcentral lists this small nucleolar RNA (107 nucleotides) under Gossypium arboreum. RNAcentral describes it as "Plant small nucleolar RNA R71". It matches the Rfam family "Plant small nucleolar RNA R71". Rfam says of the family: R71 is a member of the C/D box family of snoRNAs containing the C (UGAUGA) and D (CUGA) box motifs. Lineage: Eukaryota; Viridiplantae; Streptophyta; Magnoliopsida; Malvales; Malvaceae. The record is from Rfam by way of RNAcentral.